GUGGGGAAUCUUGCGCAAUGGGCGAAAGCCUGACGCAGCCAUGCCGCGUGAAUGAUGAAGGUCUUAGGAUUGUAAAAUUCUUUCACCGGGGACGAUAAUGACGGUACCCGGAGAAGAAGCUCCGGCUAACUUCGUGCCAGCAGCCGCGGUAAUACGAAGGGGGCUAGCGUUGCUCGGAAUUACUGGGCGGAAAGGGCGCGUAGGCGGACAGCUUAGUCAGAGGUGAAAGCCCAGGGCUCAACCUUGGAAUUGCCUUUGAUACUGGCUGUCUUGAGUUUGGGAGAGGUGAGUGGAACUCCGAGUGUAGAGGUGAAAUUCGUAGAUAUUCGGAAGAACACCAGUGGCGAAGGCGACUCACUGGCCCAAUACUGACGCUGAGGCGCGAAAGCGUGGGGAGCAAACAGGAUUAGAAACCCCUGUAGUCC
RNAcentral lists this ribosomal RNA (425 nucleotides) under uncultured bacterium. RNAcentral's name for it is "partial 16S ribosomal RNA". It matches the Rfam family "Bacterial small subunit ribosomal RNA", at positions 354 to 796 of the family's 1533-position model. The record is from RNAcentral.